AGUGAACGCUGGCGGUAGGCCUAACACAUGCAAGUCGAACGGCAGCACAGUAAGAGCUUGCUCUUACGGGUGGCGAGUGGCGGACGGGUGAGGAAUACAUCGGAAUCUACUUUUUCGUGGGGGAUAACGUAGGGAAACUUACGCUAAUACCGCAUACGCCCUACGGGUGAAAGCAGGGGAUCUUCGCACCUUGCGCGAUUGAAUGAGCCGAUGUCGGAUUAGCUAGUUGGCGGGGUAAAGGCCCACCAAGGCGACGAUCCGUAGCUGGUCUGAGAGGAUGAUCAGCCACACGGGAACUGAGACACGGUCCAGACUCCUACGGGAGGCAGCAGUGGGGAAUAGUGGACAAUGGGCGCAAGUCUGAUCCAGCCAUAGCGCGUGGGUGAAGAAGGCCUUCGGGUUGUAAAGCCCUUUUGUUGGGAAAGAAAAGCAGCAGGUUAAUACCCCGCUGUUCUGACGGUACCCAAAGAAUAAGCACCGGCUAACUUCGUG
Molecule: ribosomal RNA, 492 nt
Filed under: uncultured bacterium
Lineage: Bacteria
Description: partial 16S ribosomal RNA
Rfam family: Bacterial small subunit ribosomal RNA
Source: RNAcentral